This 1174-nucleotide ribosomal RNA is filed under the name uncultured bacterium. RNAcentral's name for it is "bacterial SSU rRNA". It matches the Rfam family "Bacterial small subunit ribosomal RNA", at positions 26 to 1164 of the family's 1533-position model. The record is from RNAcentral.
AGGACGAACGCUGGCGGCGUGCCUAAUACAUGCAAGUCGAACGCACUGACGUCGACAGAAGGUGCUUGCACUGGAAGUUGAUUGACGUGAGUGGCGGACGGGUGAGUAACACGUGGGUAACCUGCCCUUAAGCGGGGGAUAACAUUUGGAAACAGAUGCUAAUACCGCAUAAAAGUUGAGAUCACAUGGUCUUAAUUUGAAAGACGGCCUUUGGCUGUCACUUAAGGAUGGACCCGCGGCGUAUUAGCUAGUUGGUGAGAUAAUAGCCCACCAAGGCGAUGAUACGUAGCCGACCUGAGAGGGUAAUCGGCCACAUUGGGACUGAGACACGGCCCAAACUCCUACGGGAGGCAGCAGUAGGGAAUCUUCCACAAUGGACCAAAGUCUGAUGGAGCAACGCCGCGUGAGUGAAAAAGGUUUUCGGAUCGUAAAACUUUGUUGUGGAGAAAGAAACAGGGACUAGAGUAACUGUUAGUCCUUUGACGGUAUCCAACCAGAAAGCCACGGCUAACUACGUGCCAGCAGCCGCGGUAAUACGUAGGUGGCAAGCGUUGUCCGGAUUUAUUGGGCGUAAAGCGAGCGCAGGCGGUUUCUUAAGUCUGAUGUGAAAGCCUUCGGCUUAACCGAAGAAGUGCAUCAGAUACUGGGAAACUUGAGUGCAGAAGAGGAAAGUGGAACUCCAUGUGUAGCGGUGAAAUGCGUAGAUAUAUGGAAGAACACCAGUGGCGAAGGCGGCUUUCUGGUCUGUAACUGACGCUGAGGCUCGAAAGUAUGGGGAGCGAACAGGAUUAGAUACCCUGGUAGUCCAUACCGUAAACGAUGAAUGCUAAGUGUUGGAGGGUUUCCGCCCUUCAGUGCUGCAGCUAACGCAUUAAGCAUUCCGCCUGGGGAGUACGAACGCAAGGUUGAAACUCAAAGGAAUUGACGGGGGCCCGCACAAGCGGUGGAGCAUGUGGUUUAAUUCGAAGCUACGCGAAGAACCUUACCAGGUCUUGACAUCUAGCGCCAAUCCUAGAGAUGGGACGUUCCCUUCGGGGACGCUAAGACAGGUGGUGCAUGGUUGUCGUCAGCUCGUGUCGUGAGAUGUUGGGUUAAGUCCCGCAACGAGCGCAACCCUUAUGAUUAGUUGCCAGCAUUUAGUUGGGCACUCUAAUCAGACUGCCGGUGACAAACC